AUACGGAGGAUGCAAGCGUUAUCCGGAUUUAUUGGGUUUAAAGGGUGCGCAGGCGGCGCGUUAAGUCAGCGGUGAAAUGUCCCGGCUCAACCGGGGAGCUGCCGUUGAUACUGGCGUGCUGGAGUGCGGACGGCGCCGGCGGAAUAUGUAAUGUAGCGGUGAAAUGCAUAGAUAUUACAUAGAACACCGAUCGCGAAGGCAGCUGGCGAGGCCGUUACUGACGCUGAGGCACGAAAGCGUGGGGAUCAAACAGGAUUAGAUACCCUGGUAGUCCACGCAGUAAACGAUGAUGACUUGUUGUCGGCGAUAGACAGUCGGUGACAAAGCGAAAGCGAUAAGUCAUCCACCUGGGGAGUACGAUCGCAAGGUUGAAACUCAAAGGAAUUGACGGGG
Molecule: ribosomal RNA, 393 nt
Filed under: uncultured bacterium
Lineage: Bacteria
Description: partial 16S ribosomal RNA
Rfam family: Bacterial small subunit ribosomal RNA
Source: RNAcentral